RNAcentral lists this long non-coding RNA (480 nucleotides) under Monodelphis domestica (gray short-tailed opossum). RNAcentral describes it as "lncRNA (ENSMODG00000033360.2)". The record is from RNAcentral. Lineage: Eukaryota; Metazoa; Chordata; Mammalia; Didelphimorphia; Didelphidae.
CACGAGAUCAGGAGCUGGAAGGAAACUCCGAGAUUAUUUAGUCCAACUCCCUCAUUUCAGACUUGUGGAAAGUGAGGCCUUGAGAGGGAACAGUGUCUCGUCCAAGGUCACUCAGGGAGUAAGGAGCGAGGCUGAAAGCAGAAGACGCCCUACGGAGGGGAAAAGAGUCCUGGCUCAGGAGUUAAAGGAUAUGAAUUCGAAUCCUGACUUCGGUUUCAUCAGAGAUGAGAAAACUGAAAGUCAGGGAGAGGAAGUGAUUACCCAAUAUCACACAGUAAGUUUAUGGCAGAACUCAUAUUCAAAUAAUAACCCCCUUUGUAUAGGACUUUAUGGUUUAGAAAGCAUUUUAUCCAUAAUACUCCAGUGUAAUAUACUCCAGGUAAUAUAAGGAAAAUUAUACUGACUUUAUAGUUCUGUUUUUAAGAGGUUAAGUGACUUGGUCAUGGUCAUAAGCAAUAAAGAAUAGAGCUUAAAUUUGAG